GUGCUCACUUUGGCAGCACAUAGACUAAAAUCGGAAUGGUACAGAGAGGAGACUAGCAUGGCCCCUGUGAAAGGAUGACAUGCAAAUUUGUGAAGCUUUCCAUAUUUUU
Camelus dromedarius (Arabian camel) is the source of this 109-nucleotide small nuclear RNA. Lineage: Eukaryota; Metazoa; Chordata; Mammalia; Artiodactyla; Camelidae. The record is from Ensembl.